CCGACGGUGAGAGACGAAAGCUGGGGGAGCAAACCGGAUUAGAUACCCGGAUAGUCCCAGCCGUAAACGAUGUGCGUUAGGUGUAUCGGUGACCACGAGUCACCGAGGUGCCGAAGAGAAAUCGUGAAACGUACCGCCUGGGAAGUACGGUCGCAAGGCUGAAACUUAAAGGAAUUGGCGGGGGAGCACCACAACAGGUGGAGCCUGCGGUUUAAUCGGACUCAACGCCGGAAAACUCACCAGAUAAGACAGCUGAAUGAUAGUCGGGCUGAAGACUCUACUUGACUAGCUGAGAGGAGGUGCAUGGCCGUCGUCAGUUCGUACUGUGAAGCAUCCUGUUAAGUCAGGCAACGAGCGAGACCCACGCCAACAGUUGCU
RNAcentral lists this ribosomal RNA (378 nucleotides) under uncultured archaeon. RNAcentral describes it as "bacterial SSU rRNA". It matches the Rfam family "Archaeal small subunit ribosomal RNA", at positions 691 to 1068 of the family's 1478-position model. The record is from RNAcentral.